RNAcentral lists this ribosomal RNA (1373 nucleotides) under uncultured bacterium. RNAcentral's name for it is "bacterial SSU rRNA". It matches the Rfam family "Bacterial small subunit ribosomal RNA", at positions 28 to 1381 of the family's 1533-position model. The record is from RNAcentral.
GAUGAACGCUGGCGGCGUGCCUAAUACAUGCAAGUCGAGCGAACGGACGAGAAGCUUGCUUUUCUGAUGUUAGCGGCGGACGGGUGAGUAACACGUGGAUAACCUACCUAUAAGACUGGGAUAACUUCGGGAAACCGGAGCUAAUACCGGAUAAUAUUUUGAACCGCAUGGUUCAAAAGUGAAAGACGGUCUUGCUGUCACUUAUAGAUGGAUCCGCGCUGCAUUAGCUAGUUGGUAAGGUAACGGCUUACCAAGGCAACGGUGCAUAGCCGACCUGAGAGGGUGAUCGGCCACACUGGAACUGAGACACGGUCCAGGCUCCUACGGGAGGCAGCAGUAGGGAAUCUUCCGCAAUGGGCGAAAGCCUGACGGAGCAACGCCGCGUGAGUGAUGAAGGUCUUCGGAUCGUAAAACUCUGUUAUUAGGGAAGAACAUAUGUGUAAGUAACUGUGCACAUCUUGACGGUACCUAAUCAGAAAGCCACGGCUAACUACGUGCCAGCAGCCGCGGUAAUACGUAGGUGGCAAGCGUUAUCCGGAAUUAUUGGGGCGUAAAGCGCGCGUAGGCGGUUUUUUAAGUCUGAUGUGAAAGCCCACGGCUCAACCGUGGAGGGUCAUUGGAAACUGGAAAACUUGAGUGCAGAAGAGGAAAGUGGAAUUCCAUGUGUAGCGGUGAAAUGCGCAGAGAUGUGGAGGAACACCAGUGGCGAAGGCGACUUUCUGGUCUGUAACUGACGCUGAUGUGCGAAAGCGUGGGGAUCAAACAGGAUUAGAUACCCUGGUAGUCCACGCCGUAAACGAUGAGUGCUAAGUGUUAGGGGGUUUCCGCCCCUUAGUGCUGCAGCUAACGCAUUAAGCACUCCGCCUGGGGAGUACGACCGCAAGGUUGAAACUCAAAGGAAUUGACGGGGGCCCGCACAAGCGGUGGAGCAUGUGGUUUAAUUCGAAGCAACGCGAAGAACCUUACCAAAUCUUGACAUCCUUUGACAACUCUAGAGAUAGAGCCUUCCCCUUCGGGGGACAAAGUGACAGGUGGUGCAUGGUUGUCGUCAGCUCGUGUCGUGAGAUGUUGGGUUAAGUCCCGCAACGAGCGCAACCCUUAAGCUUAGUUGCCAUCAUUAAGUUGGGCACUCUAAGUUGACUGCCGGUGACAAACCGGAGGAAGGUGGGGAUGACGUCAAAUCAUCAUGCCCCUUAUGAUUUGGGCUACACACGUGCUACAAUGGACAAUACAAAGGGCAGCGAAACCGCGAGGUCAAGCAAAUCCCAUAAAGUUGUUCUCAGUUCGGAUUGUAGUCUGCAACUCGACUACAUGAAGCUGGAAUCGCUAGUAAUCGUAGAUCAGCAUGCUACGGUGAAUACGUUCCCGGGUCU